UCUUUCACAAUUGGGGUAACCCUGAUGCAGCGACGCCGCGUGAGCGAAGACGUAUUUCGGUAUGUAAAGCUCUAUCAGCAGGGAAGAAGAUGACGGUACCUGACUAAGAAGCCCCGUCUAAAUACGUGCCAGCAGCCGCGGUAAUACGUAUGGAGCAAGCGUUAUCCGGAUUUACUGGGUGUAAAGGGAGCGUAGGCGGCCUGGCAAGUCUGGUGUGAAAUACCGGGGCCCAACCCCGGGACUGCAUUGGAAACUGCCAGGCUGGAGUGUCGGAGGGGCAGGCGGAAUUCCUAGUGUAGCGGUGAAAUGCGUAGAUAUUAGGAGGAACACCAGUGGCGAAGGCGGCCUAUUGGACGGUGACUGACGCUGAGGCUCGAAAGCGUGGGGAGCAAACAGG
RNAcentral lists this ribosomal RNA (397 nucleotides) under uncultured bacterium. RNAcentral's name for it is "bacterial SSU rRNA". It matches the Rfam family "Bacterial small subunit ribosomal RNA", at positions 362 to 776 of the family's 1533-position model. The record is from RNAcentral.